This 75-nucleotide transfer RNA is filed under the name Chloroflexota bacterium. Its description in RNAcentral is "Chloroflexi bacterium (groundwater metagenome) tRNA-Gly". It matches the Rfam family "tRNA". Rfam says of the family: Transfer RNA (tRNA) molecules are approximately 80 nucleotides in length. Their secondary structure includes four short double-helical elements and three loops (D, anti-codon, and T loops). The record is from RNAcentral. Lineage: Bacteria; Bacillati; Chloroflexota.
GCGGGGGUAACUCAGUGGUAGAGUGCCUGCCUUCCAAGCAGGUCGUCGCGGGUUCGAGUCCCGUCCCCCGCUCCA